This 471-nucleotide ribosomal RNA is filed under the name uncultured bacterium. RNAcentral describes it as "bacterial SSU rRNA". It matches the Rfam family "Bacterial small subunit ribosomal RNA", at positions 355 to 825 of the family's 1533-position model. The record is from RNAcentral.
UUUCGAAUCAUUCACAAUGGGCGAAAGCCUGAUGGUGCGACGCCGUGUGAGGGAUGAAGGCCUUCGGGUUGUAAACCUCUGUCACCGGGGAAGAAACGCUCCAAGUUAACAGCUUGAAGCCUGACUUAACCCGGAGAGGAAGCAGUGGCUAACUCUGUGCCAGCAGCCGCGGUAAUACAGAGACUGCAAGCGUUAUUCGGAUUCACUGGGCGUAAAGGGUGCGCAGGCGGUUGGGUGUGUCAGAUGUGAAAUCCCGAGGCUUAACCUCGGAACUGCGUCUGAAACUACUCGACUAGAGUAUUGGAGAGGGUAACGGAAUUCACGGUGUAGCAGUGAAAUGCGUAGAUAUCGUGAGGAACACCAGAGGCGAAGGCAGUGCACUGGUACAUUCCUGACUCUGAGAUGCGAAAGCGUGGGGAGCAAAAAGGAUUAGAUACCCCAGUAGUCCCUGAGCGGGCUGGCAAGGCGCAU